GAGUUGUGGUGAGUUAUGGUGAGUUGUGGUGAGUUGUGGUGAGUUAUAGUGGGUUAUGGUAAGUUGUGGUGAGUUAUGGUGAGUUGUGGUGAGUUAUGGUAAGUUGUGGUGAGUUAGAGGGAGUUAAAGUGAGUUGUGGAAAGUUAUAGGGAGUUAUGGUGAGUUGUGGUGAGUUAUGGUGAGUUGUGGUGAGUUGUUAUGAGUAAUGGUGAGUUGUGGUGAGUUGUGGUGAGUUAUAGUGAGUUAUGGUGAGUUGUGGUGAGUUAUGGUAAGUUGUGGUGAGUUAGAGGGAGUUAUGGUGAGUUGUGGUGAGUUAUGGUAAGUUGUGGUGAGUUAUAAGGGAGUUAUGGUGAGUUGUGGUGAGUUAUGGUAAGUUGUGGUGAGUUGUUAUGAGUAAUGGUGAGUUGUGGUGAGUUAUAAGGGAGUUAUGGUGAGUUGUGGUGAGUUAUGGUAAGUUGUGGUGAGUUGUUAUGAGUAAUGGUGAGUUGUGGUGAGUUAUAAGGGAGUUAUGGUGAGUU
Molecule: long non-coding RNA, 518 nt
Organism: Astyanax mexicanus (Mexican tetra)
Lineage: Eukaryota; Metazoa; Chordata; Actinopteri; Characiformes; Acestrorhamphidae
Exons: 5
Source: RefSeq, a predicted model, not a curated record